RNAcentral lists this ribosomal RNA (418 nucleotides) under Aenigmatoconcha sumonthai. RNAcentral's name for it is "partial large subunit ribosomal RNA". It matches the Rfam family "Bacterial large subunit ribosomal RNA", at positions 1817 to 2600 of the family's 2925-position model. The record is from RNAcentral. Lineage: Eukaryota; Metazoa; Mollusca; Gastropoda; Stylommatophora; Helicarionidae.
AGCUUUAUGAAUUUUAUAUAAAGUAAAACCUGCCCAAUGAUUAUUUUUAAUGGCCGCAGUACCUUGACUGUGCUAAGGUAGCAUAAUAAAUUGACUUUUAAUUGGAGCCUUGAAUGAAAGGGAUAAUGGAUAACUACUGUUUCAUAUUAAAUUUUUAAAACUUUCUUAAAAGGUGAAAAUUCCUUUUUAAAAAUAAUAGACGAGAAGACCCUAGGAGUUUUUAAUUUUGUUGGGGCGACAGUGUAGCAUAUAACCUACAUAAACAUAUAUUAUAAAACGAAAUAUUUUAAUUAAAUUUAAACUACCCUAGGGAUAACAGCAUAAUUUAAUUUUAAGAUUGUGACCUCGAUGUUGGAUUAGGAACUUUUAAAGCUAGCAGCGUUAAUUGGAAGUUCUGUUCGAACUUUUUUUACCUACA